Molecule: long non-coding RNA, 569 nt
Organism: Oncorhynchus tshawytscha (Chinook salmon)
Lineage: Eukaryota; Metazoa; Chordata; Actinopteri; Salmoniformes; Salmonidae
Source: Ensembl
CUUGUUUUUAACCCUAGGUAGUGUCCAAUGAGCUUGUUUUUAACCCUAGGUAGUGUCCAGAUGAGCUUGUUUUUAACCCUAGGUAGUGUCCAGUUGAGCUGUAGUGUGUGCGGUACUCUGUGUUUUGUACCAGUUGAGAACUUCGGUCUAAUUCCCUGAGAUCUGGUUCUUCUCUGGAAAAAUCAUUAUUUAAGUAUUCUUGUGGUUUUACUGCCAGGGCCCUGCCAGGGUUUUACUGCCAGGGCCUGCUCUAGACGUUCCAGACUCUACUGUAGGUCAUGUGCUGUGGGUGACAGCAGGCAUAGGUCAUCUGAGAAUAGCAGGCAUAUAACCUCUGAAUUGUGGAGACUAACACAAGGGGCUGAAGAUUUUUCUAGAAUAGUGGCCCAUUCUUUGAUGUAAAUAUUGUAGAGUGCAGGACUCAGAUUGCAACCCUGACGAAGGCCCCGCCUCUGGUUAAAGAAUUCUGUUCUUUUCUUACCAAUUUUGAUGCUGCACAUAUUGCCAGUGAUUUAAUGAUGUCAUAUGUUUUCUCUCUCCUCUCCUCUCCUCUCCUCUCCUCUCCUCUC